Molecule: non-coding RNA, 472 nt
Organism: Saimiri boliviensis boliviensis (Bolivian squirrel monkey)
Lineage: Eukaryota; Metazoa; Chordata; Mammalia; Primates; Cebidae
Source: RefSeq, a predicted model, not a curated record
UACUUAGCCUUGUCCCUACCUGUUUACUUCCUUAGGCAGUAAUUCUUUUUCUUCUUCUUCUUUUUUUUUUUCUUCAGUGUAACAGUAUCAGAUGAGCCAAGACUGUUUGAAACUAUUUGGAUACUGUACUCUGGUUCCCUCAUCUACUCCAGCUACAUCAGCCUAAAUUGUCCUACCUGUCUUCUGUUAUAGGAGCCUCUGCCAUGAUCCCAGGGAUAAGUGAGGAAAGAAAUCUUUCCUCCUUCACAGUAUCAAGUGCCAGGCCAGAGCUCACUGUGAAAAAAGAUUAAGGUCCAAGGAUGGCAGGAGGAAGGACCCUAAUGAAGAGGUUCAUCUGAUUGGUUUACCGGAGUCCUCUGUGGAAUGAAUAGCUUCAUCCUUGGCGUUUCCACCUCUGCUGUCCACUCCAAUCAAGAACCGGGGCCCUCGCAACUCUCUCAGUUCUGAAACAAAUUAAAUCUCAGUGACAGAC